Molecule: non-coding RNA, 1208 nt
Organism: Malus domestica (apple)
Lineage: Eukaryota; Viridiplantae; Streptophyta; Magnoliopsida; Rosales; Rosaceae
Source: RefSeq, a predicted model, not a curated record
ACUUGACAAAUGCAAAAGCGGAGUAUAUUGCUCUGAUCAACUUAGUUAAAUGCUACGAAAUCUAUAAAGUUCUACAUUAGAUUUCAAACAUAUGCUGUUUUAAUAAAUAAGUAUAAAUAAACCACUUGAAAACAACGCAUUCUUGUUUUUGCUACUGUUUCUAUGUUCCUUCUUUUUCUUACGGCUUCUGCUUUCUGUCUUUCUUUCCACUCCGAUCAGUCUCUCUCAGGAGCUACUUUCUGCGUUUCUGAGAAUCACUUGGCGGACAAGCAAAAGCAGCUGCAACAAGCUAGAAGAAUUAAUCUGAAUAAUUGAUGGAGAGGAAUAUUUAUGUUAGUUGUGAAGGGGAAAGGAAUUGUGGAUAUGAGAAUGGGGUGAUGAUGACGAGAGACCCCAAACCAAGGUUGAGGUGGACGCCGGAUCUUCACGACAGAUUUGUCGAUGCUGUAACUAAACUCGGUGGCCCUGACAAAGCAACUCCAAAGUCUGUCUUGAGGGUCAUGACUCAUGGGAUUGAAUGGAUUAACUUUGUACCAUCUGAAAAGCGAUUUGCAGACUUGGACAGCAUGCUCGGAAACACAACUCCGUCGAAGAACAAAGCCGAGAGAAUAACGGGGAUUCAUAUGUACAUUUCAGUAAUCUUCAUUCCACAAGUUCUGGCAUCAAAUCAUCAGGAGGUGGGAAAACUGAACAAGGGUACGUGAAACCAGCACUUCUUGGUUCCGCUUUGAUUACAGCUUGGUAUACCAGUUCUUAAAUGCUAUUAAAAUUGCAUUCCUGUUAUGCAUUUCGUAUAGCCCUCCUCUAGUGGUGCUCUGGAUACUGUUGUUGCCAUCCAUGUCUUUCAUAUCACUUCGAAAAUUUACUUGCUUUUGUCUUUGUUCUUUUACAUUGUAUUUGUUUAAAGUUCAACCAUUCACAAAAGAUGCUUAAGCUAGUUAAUGAUCACAUGUUUUCUGUUUCGAUUGUUUCGAGCGCCUGGAUACUAAUUAACGGUAAUAUACUGAAACCACAACCAUUCCAUUGUCGGAGGCUCUCAAGUGUCAGAUUGAAGUACAAAACAGCUUGAGGUUCAAAAGAAGUUGCAGAUGAGAAUUGAAGCUCAAGAGAAGUACUUGCAAGCCAUAUUGGAGAAGGCCCAAAAGGGUCUCACCCUCGACGUAAAAGGGUCCCAUAAUAUAGAAGCAACAAGAGCACAAUUAACGGAU